Molecule: ribosomal RNA, 253 nt
Filed under: uncultured bacterium
Lineage: Bacteria
Description: partial 16S ribosomal RNA
Rfam family: Bacterial small subunit ribosomal RNA
Source: RNAcentral
UACGGAGGGUGCAAGCGUUAUCCGGAUUCACUGGGUUUAAAGGGUGCGUAGGUGGGUUGAUAAGUCAGUGUUGAAAUCCCCGAGCUUAACUUGGGAACUGCCAUUGAUACUAUUGAUCUUGAAUACCGUGGAGGUCAGCGGAAUAUGUCAUGUAGCGGUGAAAUGCUUAGAUAUGACAUAGAACACCAAUUGCGAAGGCAGCUGGCUACGCGAAUAUUGACACUGAUGCACGAAAGCGUGGGGAUCAAACAGG